RNAcentral lists this ribosomal RNA (1290 nucleotides) under metagenome. RNAcentral describes it as "bacterial SSU rRNA". It matches the Rfam family "Eukaryotic small subunit ribosomal RNA", at positions 588 to 1780 of the family's 1831-position model. The record is from RNAcentral.
GCUCCAAUAGCAUAUGUUAAAAUUGCUGUAGUUAAAAAGCUCGUAGUUGAAUGUGAUAGCGGUGAGGAGGUACCUUUCUUUUAAGGAACCUAAUCACGAAAGCUAAACGAACGGUGCAGUUGUGAUUCGUGGUGGUGGUUUCCUUCCUUCCUUCAUUCUUGGAGAGGGUAGGCAAUAUCAUCAUCAUUUGUUGUGUCAUCUGCACAUAUUACCUUGAAAAAAUUAGAGUGUCUAAAGCAGGCCUUGGUGCCGGAAUAAAUCGCAUGGGAUAAUGAAACAGGACUUACUAGAGAAGUGGUAUUGCUCUAUGUUAGUACAUGAUAAAUAGGGACAAUCGGGGUCGCUCGUAUUAGAUGGGGAGAGGUGAAAUUCUAAUAUCCACCUAAGACGAACAAGUGCGAAAGCAUUCGACAAGGGUGUUUUCAUUAAUCAAGAACGAAAGUUAGGGGAUCGAAGAUGAUUAGAUACCGUCGUAGUCUUAACUAUAAACUAUAUCGACCAAAUAUUAUGGCAUGUUGUCACUGACUCCCGUAGCAUCUUAUGAGAAAUCACAAGUGUGAUUCUAGGGGGAGUAUGGUCGCAAGGCUGAAACUUAAAGGAAUUGACGGAAGGGCACCACCAGGAGUGGAACCUGCGGCUUAAUUUGACCCAACACGGGAAAACUUACCAGGUCAGGACACAGUAAGGAUUGACAGAUUGAUUGUUCUUUCAUGAUUUUGUGGAUAGUGGUGCAUGGCCGUUUUUAGUUGGUGGAUUGAUUUGUCUGGUUAAUUCCGUUAACGAACGAGACCUCGUCCUGUUAACUAGGAACUGGAAUAAUAACCUAUUCAUCAUUGCAGCCAUUUUCACUCCGGUGCAAUUUGGUGGUAGUGGUGGUAAAGGUUUUUAAAUUCCAAUGAUUCUUCUUAAAGGGACCCAUUAACUUUAUUAAAAGGAAGAUCGAGGCAACAACAGGUCUGUGAUGCCCUUAGAUGUUCUGGGCUGCACGCGGGUUACAUUGGAUUCUACAAAGUGCAAUGGUCCUUACACGAAAGUGUUAGGGAACCACUAAUGCAAAUACCUAAACUGGGAUAGUAAAUUGUAAUUAUUAUUCUUGAACGAGGAAUUCCUAGUAAACUUACUUCAUUAGAGUGGGCUGAUUACUCCCUGCCCUUUGUACACACCGCCCGUCGCUCCUACCGAUUGAAUGGUCCGGUGAGGACUCAGGAUGGAUGGGCUUUGACUGGCUGUAAAGCUGGCUCAAGCCCAUAUUUUUAACCAGAAUUUGUUCAAACCAUAUUGUUUAGAGGA